AUUAAUAUUACUAUAAUAUUUUAUAUAUGUGCUAGUUAUCUACAAAAGUUUUAUGAAUUUAUAUUAAUUAUGACAAAUAUAAAGAGCAUAGUGUAAAUUAUAAAUAAUUUUGAAGUUAAAUUUGAAGUUUUGAUUUUGGAGACCUUGAAACUUCAAAUAUAAAGUUUGCAAAACUCUAUAAUAGAGAGUUUGGAGACGUUCUAACAAAAUUAGGCAUUCGAUAGUUUUUUUUACUCCCUCCAUUACCUUUCUAUCUCUAAAGACUUUUAUGUCUAUUUGUUCUUGCCUUCUCCGCCACAAAUCUUCGUUUCCGUCGGUGGGUUUCCACAGCCACGAGGUCGAUUCAGAUCAAAAUCGAGUGGUUGGUUCUUACGGUUAUGGCGCUCCUGCUCCGGUACUCGUUACGGUUACUGAUUCUUGUGCAUGUGUGUUUUAGACUUUUGGAUCUAUGUCGUCGAUUUCUUCUUUGCAUGCGCCUGUCUCAGUUCUAUUCCUCUGUAGUUUUAGUGCUUAUCUUUGUUGCUCUGUUGGUGAAGAUGAUUGGUUAGAAUAGGAGGGCUUAUCCUUGGUAUCUAUUGCAACGAUUCGAUUUCGGCUAGGAUCGUGUUUUCUGGUCUUAUGCAGAGAAAUUCCGGAAACACUGCUUUUUUUCUGAAGGACUAGGAGCUUAUGCUAUUUAACAUCAGAUCGUCGGAAAGUAUUAGGUAAACCAGUCUCUUCACUGCGCCUUCUUUGGUUGUGUCAGUGCGAUCCUGCUUGUGGCUCCGAUGUGGAGCAAUAUAAUGAGUGAUGGCUUGAUCCUCUUGAAUAAAUGUUUGAACCGAGCUUGGUCGGAUUCUAGUAAGAUAGGAAAAACUCGUCGGUGGGUUAGUUCGAAGGCAUUUUCUAUUGAUCAGAAAUGUUUGUCGGUUACAAAUGAGGAAAUAAGCGGAGUAAAUACGGCGGUGCUCGCAGAGCUGGCCGGGAAAGUACAAGUCGACAGAAUACAAGAUAAGUAAAAUGCUAAUUCUAGCCGCCAAGUAUGAGUGUUGAUAUUCGGAUGGGUCCGAGUUACCGGCGAAGGGUGGAAAACAAAGUUUUUCCAUUGGGCGGAGACUGAUGGGGGUUCUGAGUGUUUCAGCGAGAACGCGAUCGAUUUGCGGGGUAGAGCUCAUGAUGUGGUGGAUCUUAGAAUGGAUGUCUUGGAGUGAGAGCUUGAGCUCGGCGAUUUCCCGGACGAUAGUUAGAGCCGGGCCAUUAGGGUUUUGCCCGGUGGUGGCUGUACGGUCUGUGUUAAAUAGCUGUCUUUGAAUGGUCGGAGGGUUGCUCGUGUUCGGUUGUCGCCUUUUCUGCUUCUUCCUAUUAGUGGAGACAAGCCAUGACGAACUCUGACAUGGUUGGUGCUGCGGCAACAAGGGUGGGUUCCGACUCUUCACUGGAGGUCAAUUCUCGAGAUUCAUGUUGAUAUGUGUCGAUGCUUCUUCGUUUUGCCCCAUGGUGGGUGCCAAAUGUUUAAUCCAUAGCUGUGUGUAUUGGAAUCAGACAUUAUAUUUUUAUGUAGGUUUAGGAAAAGUUUUCAUAAUGAGAACCAAAUGGAAAAGAAAAACAUAAAAUUUUUUUUAUAGAUUAUAGAUUUCAUUACAAAGAUAUAUUUUUCUUAGAAGUGUAAAGUGAAUCUAAGAAUCUAUAAAAUCUUUCUCGAUAAAAUGUGUUCUAGAUCUAAGAAGAAAGAAUCAUCCCAUCUUAAGGAGGAGUGCCUCCUCUUUUAUACAAGAAAUCUAGGGUUUUCUAAUGAUCUCUUCUUGUAAAUGAGCCUAGUUCAUUGUCUAAUGGACCUUGUUGAGGGAUUAAGAUCCAUCUCCAACAACAAAGUUCGAUCUUGAGAAUUGUUCUUCUUCUUCUUAAGAGUGUUAUGUUGUUUGGUUUUAUUUGAUAAAUGUAAAACCAUAGCUAGUGUUUUGUCUUGGUCGUUGUCUAUGGGGACUUGUUGUCCGUCGGCUUUCGAUUCCAGUGAAUGGUUUUUCUUCUGCUGGCUUAGAACUCCGAGAGUUUUGAUAACUCACUGGCUUUAGUUUAAAUUUUCUGUAAUCCUCGUUUUAAUGAUAAUCUAAUCUUCUAGCGUUAAAAAAAAAGAUAGUUAUUAAAAUAGAUUGUAAAGUGUGUGUCGUAUUGAUGAAAGUACAUGAGUAUAUAUACAAGAGAUUAAGUCCUUAUCACGAGAGGACUAUGUAUUUAGAUAAGUACAACAUAUUAUUAUCUAUAAUUCACAUCAUUAUCUCUAUACACCCCCGCAAGUUGGAGGUGAAAGAUUUUGAAUCUCCAGCUUGGACAGCAGAUAAGAAAAUGUAGUUGUUGGUAGGGCCUUGGUGAGAAUUUCUGCAGGCUGCUCAGUGGUUCUGAUAUGUUCUGUAGUAAUCAGCUUGUCCUCGACAGCAUCGCGAACAAAAUUGCAGUCCGACUCAAUAUGUUUCGUUCGUUCAUGGAAAACUGGGUUAGCCGCAAUGUAAAUGGCCGCUUUGCUGUCACAAAAGAGUUGCAUUGGGUGAUCAUGAGGUAUGUCAAACGCACGCAGCAGUUGCUUGAUCCACUUGAGCUCUUUUAAAGAUGCUGCCAUGGACCGAUACUCAGGAAGCAUAAUUACUAUAUGUGAAUAUAUGUGAAUGCGUAAACCAUAAUUACUAAACAAAAACCAAAUUUCGUAACAAAAAAUACAACUUUUAUAAAUAGUAUGUAUUAAUGUAUACACAGUAAAAUGAAAUAUCUUUAUGCGUAAUUUAUAUUGUAUUAAAUUUGAAAUAAUUUCUUUAAGCUAACAUCGUUGUCAAUUGGUUAAUCAUAUACGUAGAUGAUCUACAAAUAAUAUAUAUGUAUUAAAUUUAAUUAAUUGGAGGAGAAGCAAUGGCUAAAAAAUAUCGUGAGUAGGUAUGUCUUGCAAGCAAAAUAUUCUUGAAAAGUUGCAAGUAGCAAAUAAACAACGGGUAAUCAAUUAAUUAACUACUACUUGACUAAGAAAGCAGAUUAACAGCUUAGCUCUAAGCCUAGAAUAUGCAUUUUUAAUAUAUAUAAGCUAUCUCUCCUAUCAAAUACUAAAAUCUAUUUUUAAAACUUACGGUCACCUUCCGUAGCGGUUGAAGAAAAAUAUGUCCACGUAUAAAUCUUCUCGAGGAGGAACUCAUUGCAUCCAAUAUUUUGAUCAUAUAUUGAGUUUUAGAACAAAUGGUGAACUUUAAUUAUAUCAAACAACAAAGCAAAUAAUUACAAAGAUAACAAAGACUUAAUAUCCCUUUCACAUGUGCUCAUAUGCCUGGUGGCAGAUUCUGUGGGCGCUUGCACCUAAACCCAGCUCACUGCCUUUUGUUUUCUACACAAAAACCAGUUUUAAUAAUACUAAGAAUAAACAAACAUGAGAAUCGAAAGAAUAUUUUAGUGUUAUAAUUAUAUUUUGUGUCUGUGGUGUAAUUAAGAAUUCAUAGUAUGAUAUGGUUAUAGCUUUUGGGUUCUAGUAUGUGUCAUAUGGAUUGUUGGUGUUGGAUCUCACAUACAAUAUUCAUUCGAAGAAAUUUAUUAACAGCAACGUUAAUGCCCAUGAUUAGGUCUAAAAUUGAGGACGGUCUAAAGAAAGAGGGGGUCAAAUGGUCGAUGAAGGAUUAUUUCUACCUCUAUUCUUCUCCUUAAUUAUUCUUCUUCUUCUUCUUUUUUUUGGCUUCCACCAUUUUCACCGUAUUCAUCUUCCACUAGUUUGUAUAUUUUAAUCAAGACAUUAGUAAGAACAGAACACUAUCUUUCAUAUUAUUUAAUGUACAAUUUUGUUCCAUUU
Brassica napus (rape) is the source of this 3796-nucleotide long non-coding RNA. RefSeq lists it as uncharacterized. The record is from RefSeq and is a predicted model, not a curated record. The transcript is spliced from 2 exons. Lineage: Eukaryota; Viridiplantae; Streptophyta; Magnoliopsida; Brassicales; Brassicaceae.